AAAAUAGUAUACACAGCAAGGCAGGCCAGCCACUGUGUUCCUGAGUCAUGGCUGUCGAAAGGUAACGAUCGGUGGCAAGCGUUGACAGGGGUGAAUAUAGGUCAGGCUAUCGAGCUUCGAAAGUUGCGUUAUUUGGGUGCUGACGGUGUCCCUAGUCGCGGAAGGCGAAACGGGCGGUGGCGUUAUGGCAAGUUACCGUGCGACCCAGCGGAGUCAAAGACCC
Molecule: non-coding RNA, 223 nt
Organism: Chromatiales bacterium (ex Bugula neritina AB1)
Lineage: Bacteria; Pseudomonadati; Pseudomonadota; Gammaproteobacteria; Chromatiales
Source: Rfam